Molecule: long non-coding RNA, 955 nt
Organism: Panicum virgatum (switchgrass)
Lineage: Eukaryota; Viridiplantae; Streptophyta; Magnoliopsida; Poales; Poaceae
Exons: 2
Source: RefSeq, a predicted model, not a curated record
UUGAACAUCACAAACAAAUUGUUGUAUGUAUGGAUAAAUUGUUGUGUAGAGGGAACAAAUAAUUUAUCACUAUGAACAAAUCCAUCCACAAAAUGGAAACUGAAUACAUAUGCGAAUAAACUUAGUUGACACAGUAAAAAAAUUAAUAUAACAUCAUGAACAAAUUAAUCUACAAAAACGAACAAAAAUAGCUGAAACAUUUUAUUUUAACCAGUGAACAAAAUCUGCGUACUUGAUGAACAAAUUAGUAUAAAAAAUAAAGAUAAAAAUCCACAAUAUUGAAGGGGAAAACUAUAUAUAUAUGGUGCAUAAAUUAUUAUAUAAAAUAUAAAUAAAAGAAAAGAUAGAAAACAUAAAGAAAAAUAAAAUGAAAAUGAGUAGAAAAUAAAAGGAACAGGUUAAAAAAUUACAAAACUAGCAAUAAACUAGAGCACGGGCUGCAACCUCCCCCCCCCCCUAACAUUAACACAAAUGACUCCCUCAAUUCCUUAUUCAUGAGCUGAAUUUACUUUCGCUUCAUCCGAUAGCUUUCUUGGAUCUAAUUUAUUUUUCCUCCCACUUCAUGACAGGCGGGGCGAUAUAUUGCCACCCUCCCUCGUACAAAUUCAGCCUAUCUAUGUCUAAUAAAGGCGCAGCACUCGGUGCAACCUCAGGCUAUCCACGACAGCACAAAAGAUUUACACCAUGUGAUGUUCAUCUUAUGGCGGAGAAAGUAACUGCUAAUGCAAAGACAAAAGAAAAGGCAGUAUCACUUUCCAAGACUCCACUGCACACAAACCGCUAUUAUCCCAACAUAAGAAUCCAAUGUCUGUAUAACAAACAAUCUAGUGUAGCAUACAAAUGCUGCACCCUCCUUGUAUAUAGCUACCUUCUAAUAUAUGGUACUAUGCUCCAACUUCUGCAAAUACCCUGACUGCUAAAUCUUCCACUGAUUAUUACCCAACAAUAUUACUAA